Molecule: ribosomal RNA, 465 nt
Filed under: uncultured bacterium
Lineage: Bacteria
Description: partial 16S ribosomal RNA
Rfam family: Bacterial small subunit ribosomal RNA
Source: RNAcentral
CCUACGGGUGGCAGCAGUAGGGAAUCUUCCGCAAUGGGCGAAAGCCUGAUGGAGCAACGCCGCGUGGGUGAAGAAGGUCUUCGGAUCGUAAAACCCUGUUGUCAGAGAAGAAUGUGCGUGAUAGUAACUGAUCACGUUUCGACUGUAUCUAACCAGAAAGCCACGGCUAACUACGUGCCAGCAGCGUCGUUAAUACGUAGGUGGCAAGCGUUAUCCGGAUUUGUGGGGCGUAAAGGGAACGCAGGCGGUCUUUUAAGUCUGAUGUGAAAGCUUUCGGCUUAACCGGCGUAGGGCAUUGGAAACUGGGAGACUUGAGUGCAGAAGAGGAGAGUGGAACUCCAUGUGUAGCGGUGAAAUGCGUAGAUAUAUGGAAGAACACCAGUGGCGAAAGCGGCUCUCUGGUCUGUAACUGACGCUGAGGUUCGAAAGCGUGGGUAGCAAACAGGAUUAGAUACCCCAGUAGUC